GCCUGAGUGGCUCAGUCGGUUGAGCGUCUGACCUCGGCUCAGGGCAUGAUCUCAUGGUUUGUGAGUUCGAGCCCCGCUUCAGGCU
Transfer RNA from Felis catus (domestic cat), 85 nucleotides. It matches the Rfam family "tRNA". Rfam says of the family: Transfer RNA (tRNA) molecules are approximately 80 nucleotides in length. Their secondary structure includes four short double-helical elements and three loops (D, anti-codon, and T loops). Further hydrogen bonds mediate the characteristic L-shaped molecular structure. tRNAs have two regions of fundamental functional importance: the anti-codon, which is responsible for specific mRNA codon recognition, and the 3' end, to which the tRNAs corresponding amino acid is attached (by aminoacyl-tRNA synthetases). tRNAs cope with the degeneracy of the genetic code in two manners: having more than one tRNA (with a specific anti-codon) for a particular amino acid; and 'wobble' base-pairing, i.e. permitting non-standard base-pairing at the 3rd anti-codon position. The record is from Rfam. Lineage: Eukaryota; Metazoa; Chordata; Mammalia; Carnivora; Felidae.